ACGCACGCUGGCGGCGUGCUUCACACAUGCAAGUCGCACGGAAAGGCCUCUUUCGGGGGGUACUCGAGUGGCGAACGGGUGAGUAACACGUGAGUAACCUGCCCUUGACUUUGGGAUAACUUCAGGAAACUGGGGCUAAUACCGGAUAGGAGCUCCUGCUGCAUGGUGGGGGUUGGAAAGUUUCGGCGGUUGGGGAUGGACUCGCGGCUUAUCAGCUUGUUGGUGGGGUAGUGGCUUACCAAGGCUUUGACGGGUAGCCGGCCUGAGAGGGUGACCGGCCACAUUGGGACUGAGAUACGGCCCAGACUCCUACGGGAGGCAGCAGUGGGGAAUAUUGCACAAUGGGUGGAAGCCUGACGCAGCAACGCCGUGUGCGGGAUGACGGCCUUCGGGUUGUAAACCGCUUUCGCUCAUGACGAAGCUUUGUGUGACGGUAGUGGGUAAAGAAGCACCGGCUAACUACGUG
RNAcentral lists this ribosomal RNA (466 nucleotides) under uncultured bacterium. Its description in RNAcentral is "partial 16S ribosomal RNA". It matches the Rfam family "Bacterial small subunit ribosomal RNA", at positions 29 to 507 of the family's 1533-position model. The record is from RNAcentral.